RNAcentral lists this transfer RNA (73 nucleotides) under Oscarella microlobata. RNAcentral's name for it is "tRNA-Arg". It matches the Rfam family "tRNA". From Rfam's summary of the family: Transfer RNA (tRNA) molecules are approximately 80 nucleotides in length. Their secondary structure includes four short double-helical elements and three loops (D, anti-codon, and T loops). The record is from RNAcentral. Lineage: Eukaryota; Metazoa; Porifera; Homoscleromorpha; Homosclerophorida; Oscarellidae.
ACAUCCAUAGCUCAAUAGGUAGAGCAUUUACCUUCUAAGUAAGUGGUUGUGGGUUCAAGUCCUACUGGAUGUA